UUGAUAAUCUGUUUCGUGGAAUUCUCCGUCGGUAAUAUUCUUCUGCAAAAGGAUCCUCAUUCUCCCGCGAGAGAGAAAAAAAGGGGGAAAACAUUGCGUGAGAAAUCGCGGCAAUGAUGUAACAGUCUCGCGAAAUAACUUUAGGUCUAUUUAUGGCGCGUCGCGCGAGGAGGAAAAGUACCCGAAGAAAGCGGAACCGGUGACGAAAAAUUCCCCGGGGUUGGAAACGGGGCGCGAUAAAAAGUGAACCGCCGACUACGUACCAGCACGUCACCAGUAUCUUUAUGUUUCAUAACUUUGCGGCCGGAUUGUCCCGUGAUGAAUACGUGUUCGAACCAAUCGUGAAUCACGGGAAUGGGACGACACCAGAUAACACGCUCGAUCGUCUCCUAAUCCAGACGAAACACUGCUGAUCCCGUUGUUUGCUCACAUGUCGGUCCAGACCUAUUAUUUAACUAUCGAUAAAGCUCGAUAUCUACCGAUCGAUCGGUCAAGUGGUUUAUAUAACCCGAUAGAAGGUACGUUCGCUACUCAAGAAAUGUGGAACUGCGCAUAAACCCUUUUCCCGCCAAUUAACAGUCCCUUCUGCGCAGCCGCCAUUUUAUUGCGCAUCGAAUGAAUCAUUCGCGAACAUUGUUGUGAUUUUGAUUACGCGUAGAGCUUUAUCGUUUUUAUACGACUAAAAAAGUCUAUUCGAUAAAUAAUUGGCGAAUAAUUCAUAUUCGAUUACCGAACGGUAACGUUGCAGCGCAGACACAACUGAGAUUACGGUCCCCAUGCUACAAAGUGUUGAACUUACAAAGUCCGAUCGAAUCCCUGGAAUAUUUCUGGCUGUUCUAACUCGAGUCCCGCGGUGACGAAACCGAACGACCGUUAGGUUCAUUUGAAGGUUCACGUUUCAAUAAUUCGCCGUGAUAAUCGCGGGCAGAUUAGGAAUGGUCGCGACCCUCGGCUAGUCAUGGUACAGGCAUGUUCGCGUUUCGUGACUCGGGCGAGAAAAUUGCGCAGCCGUCACGCUAUUUCGACUGUACGCCGGGUUAAAAUUAGAGUGGCGCAUCUUCUAAACGCUACAUACACUGCGACGCGUUACGCCCUUGGAACUGGUCCAAUCGUCUGCCCGCCCGAGGGACGCAAAUGGACUUCCUUUCAAGCGGGAAAUCAAACGCGUGCCCGCCGCGAGAUUUUCGAAACUGAAAACCACUUUGUUUCUGCGACGCGGCGAUCCGGAGGAGUCUAUCGACCUCGUUCGUUUCACGCGUAACCAAUCUGGUCGAAACGUUCGCAGCUGCGAGAUCUAGAUUAGGUUUAACUGCUGCGUUUAUUCACUUAACCUAACUCGCGAGCGCGCAGCGUUGCGUUCAGCAUUUCAUUUUACCGCGGUUGUUCGCUAAUUAAUUUAUCUUUCCUCGGUGAUUCGGCGAUUCGAGAUACACUGGAAUCUUUGCACGAGUGAUAGCCUCUUGACUCUCGGUGAUCUGUAUGUGGAACAAUAAGCUAUGAGACGCUGAUACACAGAUAGCCAACGUUAGAUAAAUCGCGCAACGUGACCCGCACGUAAAUAUGCAUCUCGCGUCGCCGCUCUGGCUGUUGCGCAACGAAAAUAAAAGGGAGGCCGGAUUCCGCAGAACAGGUUAAGGUUAAAAUAGGAUCAGAGGGGGGCAGCACUGAUCUAUCCCAUUCGGAACCGCAUUGUCGCCUUGUGUAAUUUCCAGGCAGAAGGGACCGCCGUAUUCAAAAGCGUGACAUAACAGCAUCGGUGAGUCACGUGUUGGCGUAGCUGCCGAAACCAAACAGCCUACGCUCUUUUUUUCAAACAAAUCGGUGUUACAUAAGCCACCGAAGGGGCAACAAACUAACGCAGGCAUCCACUCGCGUUCCUUCUGUCUCCCGUUUCCGGGAGGGAUUUUUAAGGGUCCCGAAGGUGGUCGUUAGGGGACCAGCGGGACGCGUUCGAGACCCGUUAACCGGAAGAGGCAAGUCUGAACUGGUCCAGUUAGAGUUACGACGCAUCUUUCCAUUUACACCGAUGAUUAUGG
Non-coding RNA from Nomia melanderi (Alkali bee), 2036 nucleotides. The record is from RefSeq and is a predicted model, not a curated record. Lineage: Eukaryota; Metazoa; Arthropoda; Insecta; Hymenoptera; Halictidae.